GGGUCGUGGGUUCGGGCCCCACGUUGGGCGCCA
Molecule: non-coding RNA, 33 nt
Filed under: Bombyx mori (domestic silkworm)
Lineage: Eukaryota; Metazoa; Arthropoda; Insecta; Lepidoptera; Bombycidae
Also listed under: 2 other names
Source: RNAcentral